Molecule: ribosomal RNA, 930 nt
Filed under: Cortinarius sp. PDD 112356
Lineage: Eukaryota; Fungi; Basidiomycota; Agaricomycetes; Agaricales; Cortinariaceae
Description: partial large subunit ribosomal RNA
Rfam family: Eukaryotic large subunit ribosomal RNA
Source: RNAcentral
CAUAUCAAUAAGCGGAGGAAAAGAAACUAACAAGGAUUCCCCUAGUAACUGCGAGUGAAGCGGGAAAAGCUCAAAUUUAAAAUCUGGCAGUCUCUGGCUGUCCGAGUUGUAAUCUAGAGAAGCGUUAUCCGCGCUGGACCGUGUACAAGUCUCCUGGAAUGGAGUAUCAUAGAGGGUGAGAAUCCCGUCUUUGACACGGACUACCAGGGCUUUGUGAUGCGCUCUCAAAGAGUCGAGUUGUUUGGGAAUGCAGCUCAAAAUGGGUGGUAAAUUCCAUCUAAAGCUAAAUAUUGGCGAGAGACCGAUAGCGAACAAGUACCGUGAGGGAAAGAUGAAAAGAACUUUGGAAAGAGAGUUAAACAGUACGUGAAAUUGCUGAAAGGGAAACGCUUGAAGUCAGUCGCGUUGGCCAGGGAUCAACCUUGCUUUUGCUUGGUGUACUUUCUGGUUGACGGGUCAGCAUCAAUUUUGACUAUUGGAAAAAGGUCAAGGGAAUGUGGCAUCUUCGGAUGUGUUAUAGCCCUUGGUUGCAUACAAUGGUUGGGAUUGAGGAACUCAGCACGCCGCAAGGCCGGGUUUUUAACCACGUACGUGCUUAGGAUGCUGGCAUAAUGGCUUUAAUCGACCCGUCUUGAAACACGGACCAAGGAGUCUAACAUGCCUGCGAGUGUUUGGGUGGAAAACCCGAGCGCGCAAUGAAAGUGAAAGUUGAGAUCCUCUGUCGUGGGGAGCAUCGACGCCCGGACCAGACCUUUUGUGACGGUUCCGCGGUAGAGCAUGUAUGUUGGGACCCGAAAGAUGGUGAACUAUGCCUGAAUAGGGUGAAGCCAGAGGAAACUCUGGUGGAGGCUCGUAGCGAUUCUGACGUGCAAAUCGAUCGUCAAAUUUGGGUAUAGGGGCGAAAGACUAAUCGAACCAUCUAGUAGCUGG